GACGUAGGGCGCGAGCGUUGUCCGGAUUUAUUGGGCGUAAAGAGCUCGUAGGCGGCUUGUCGCGUCGUCUGUGAAAUCCCGCGGCUCAACCGCGGGUCUGCAGUCGAUACGGGCAGGCUAGAGUUCGGUAGGGGAGACUGGAAUUCCCGGUGUAGCGGUGAAAUGCGCAGAUAUCGGGAGGAACACCGGUGGCGAAGGCGGUUCUCUGGGCCUUACCUGACGCUGAGGAGCGAAAGCGUGGGGAGCGAACAGG
RNAcentral lists this ribosomal RNA (253 nucleotides) under uncultured bacterium. Its description in RNAcentral is "partial 16S ribosomal RNA". It matches the Rfam family "Bacterial small subunit ribosomal RNA", at positions 524 to 776 of the family's 1533-position model. The record is from RNAcentral.